CUCGACUCCAGCCUCUCCGACGCAGGCGGAUUUUUGCACCAACACAAGCCAAAAAGUUUAGACAACUACCAACAAUGAUUAUGUAUCCUCGACCAUGAGCCAGGUACAAUAAUAAUUAUGGGAUAUUCGAACAUAAUCUGAACCUCGAUGACUGGAUUGAAGGAUUGACCCCUCGGAGAUAUGUUGGCUUAGGCUAAGACCUUCAAAAUUUUGUUCGGUAAGGUAUCAAUAAUAUAAAGUUAUCUCAAUUUAAGUUAGGA
Molecule: long non-coding RNA, 260 nt
Filed under: Elaeis guineensis (African oil palm)
Lineage: Eukaryota; Viridiplantae; Streptophyta; Magnoliopsida; Arecales; Arecaceae
Description: long non-coding RNA (EGUI_LNC048965)
Source: RNAcentral